AAACCAACAGGGAUUGCCCUAGUAAUGGCGAAUGAACAGGCAAAAGCUCAGAUUUGAAACCCUCGGGAUUGUAGUCUGGAGAUCGGCGACUGGAUUGCUGGCCAAGUUCCCUGGAACGGGACGCCAUGGAGGGUGACAGCCCCGUAGCAGCACCACUGUAGUCGCCGUUCAACGAGUCGAGUUGUUUGGGAAUGCAGCUCUAAGUGGGUGGUAUGCUCCAUCUAAAGCUAAAUAUUGGCGAGAGACCGAUAGCGAACAAGUACUGUGAAGGAAAGAUGAAAAGAACUUUGAAAAGAGAGUGAAAUAGUACGUGAAAUUGUUGAAAUGGAAGGCUAUGCGCCGCGAUUGACGCCCGCGUUUUGCAGUGGGACAAACGCGCAGACCGCUUCGGCACUGUCUGCGCUCCUACCACCACAGGACCAGGGCGUCUAACAACGGCGCAUCGCAC
Molecule: ribosomal RNA, 448 nt
Filed under: Entelexis gropengiesseri
Lineage: Eukaryota; Fungi; Ascomycota; Dipodascomycetes; Dipodascales; Trichomonascaceae
Description: eukaryotic LSU rRNA
Rfam family: Eukaryotic large subunit ribosomal RNA
Source: RNAcentral